RNAcentral lists this ribosomal RNA (515 nucleotides) under uncultured bacterium. RNAcentral's name for it is "partial 16S ribosomal RNA". It matches the Rfam family "Bacterial small subunit ribosomal RNA", at positions 28 to 523 of the family's 1533-position model. The record is from RNAcentral.
GAUGAACGCUGGCGGCGUGCCUAAUACAUGCAAGUCGAGCGAAUGGAUUAAGAGCUUGCUCUUAUGAAGUUAGCGGCGGACGGGUGAGUAACACGUGGGUAACCUGCCCAUAAGACUGGGAUAACUCCGGGAAACCGGGGCUAAUACCGGAUAACAUUUUGAACCGCAUGGUUAGAAAUUGAAAGGCGGCUUCGGCUGUCACUUAUGGAUGGACCCGCGUAGCAUUAGCUAGUUGGUGAGGUAACGGCUCACCAAGGCAACGAUGCGUAGCCGACCUGAGAGGGUUAUCGGCCACACUUGCGCUGGGACAUGAGCCCGACUCCUACGUGAGGCAGCAGUAAGGAGUCUUCAGCAAUGGACGAAAGUCUGACUGAGCAACGCCGCGUGAGUGGUGAAGGCGUUCGGGUCGUAAAACUCUGUUGUUAGGGAAGAACAAGUGCUAGUUGAAUAAGCUGGCACCUUGACGGUACCUAACCAGAAAGCGACGGCUAACUACGUGCCAGCCGCCGCAGUAA